Non-coding RNA from Camellia sinensis, 268 nucleotides. Lineage: Eukaryota; Viridiplantae; Streptophyta; Magnoliopsida; Ericales; Theaceae. The record is from RefSeq and is a predicted model, not a curated record.
CUUUAUAGUCUUAGUUUCAGAAAUACUAUCCCAUCUUCUCUUUUCAAUAAUUAAAUAUUUAUCUCACAACUUUUCACUUUCACCAAAUAACUAUUAUUACUAGCACGUUCAUACUGCAGAACAAUGCCGUGGACCAAGACCAAAGAGGAGCAGCAAAUGGCAUAGCUAUGACUGCAAUGUCACUUUUUAAAGUUGUUGGUCCAGCUGCUGGAGGAGCAGUCUUUUCUUGGGCACAAUGGCGUCAGGUUGCUGCCUUCCUUCCAGGUAA